RNAcentral lists this unclassified non-coding RNA (332 nucleotides) under soil metagenome. RNAcentral describes it as "partial contains 5.8S ribosomal RNA, internal transcribed spacer 2, and large subunit ribosomal RNA". The stretch from base 1 to 120 matches the Rfam family "5.8S ribosomal RNA", at positions 35 to 154 of the family's 154-position model. The record is from RNAcentral.
GAUGAAGAACGUAGCGAAAUGCGAUAAGUAAUGUGAAUUGCAGAAUUCAGUGAAUCAUCGAAUCUUUGAACGCACAUUGCGCCCGCCAGUAUUCUGGCGGGCAUGCCUGUUCGAGCGUCAUUUCAACCAUCAAGCCCCAGGCUUGUGUUGGAGCCCUGCGGCUGCCGCAGCCUCCCAAAACCAGUGGCGGGCUCGCUAUCACCGAGUGCAGUAGUUUACUCUUCGCUCAGGGCGUGUGGCGGGUGCUAGCCGUAAAACCCCCAACUUCUCAAGGUUGACCUCGGAUCAGGUAGGAAUACCCGCUGAACUUAAGCAUAUCAAUAAGCGGAGGA